GAUCCUGGCUCAGAUUGAACGCUGGCGGCAGGCUUAACACGUGCAAGUCGAGCGGGGAAGAGUAGCUUGCUACUUGACCUAGCGGCGGACGGGUGAGUAAUGCUUAGGAAUCUGCCUAUUAGUGGGGGACAACAUCUCGAAAGGGAUGCUAAUACCGCAUACGUCCUACGGGAGAAAGCAGGGGACCUUCGGGCCUUGCGCUAAUAGAUGAGCCUAAGUCGGAUUAGCUAGUUGGUGGGGUAAAGG
Molecule: ribosomal RNA, 246 nt
Filed under: uncultured bacterium
Lineage: Bacteria
Description: partial 16S ribosomal RNA
Rfam family: Bacterial small subunit ribosomal RNA
Source: RNAcentral